AGAGUUUGAUCAUGGCUCAGAUUGAACGCUGGCGGCAGGCCUAACACAUGCAAGUCGAACGGUAACAGGAAGCAGCUUGCUGCUUCGCUGACGAGUGGCGGACGGGUGAGUAAUGUCUGGGAAGCUGCCUGAUGGAGGGGGAUAACUACUGGAAACGGUAGCUAAUACCGCAUAAUGUCGCAAGACCAAAGAGGGGGACCUUCGGGCCUCUUGCCAUCGGAUGUGCCCAGAUGGGAUUAGCUUGUUGGUGGGGUAACGGCUCACCAAGGCGACGAUCCCUAGCUGGUCUGAGAGGAUGACCAGCCACACUGGAACUGAGACACGGUCCAGACUCCUACGGGAGGCAGCAGUGGGGAAUAUUGCACAAUGGGCGCAAGCCUGAUGCAGCCAUGCCGCGUGUAUGAAGAAGGCCUUCGGGUUGUAAAGUACUUUCAGCGGGGAGGAAGGGAGUAAAGUUAAUACCUUUGCUCAUUGACGUUACCCGCAGAAGAAGCACCGGCUAACUCCGUGCCAGCAGCCGCGGUAAUACGGAGGGUGCAAGCGUUAAUCGGAAUUACUGGGCGUAAAGCGCACGCAGGCGGUUUGUUAAGUCAGAUGUGAAAUCCCCGGGCUCAACCUGGGAACUGCAUCUGAUACUGGCAAGCUUGAGUCUCGUAGAGGGGGGUAGAAUUCCAGGUGUAGCGGUGAAAUGCGUAGAGAUCUGGAGGAAUACCGGUGGCGAAGGCGGCCCCCUGGACGAAGACUGACGCUCAGGUGCGAAAGCGUGGGGAGCAAACAGGAUUAGAUACCCUGGUAGUCCACGCCGUAAACGAUGUCGACUUGGAGGUUGUGCCCUUGAGGCGUGGCUUCCGGAGCUAACGCGUUAAGUCGACCGCCUGGGGAGUACGGCCGCAAGGUUAAAACUCAAAUGAAUUGACGGGGGCCCGCACAAGCGGUGGAGCAUGUGGUUUAAUUCGAUGCAACGCGAAGAACCUUACCUGGUCUUGACAUCCACGGAAGUUUUCAGAGAUGAGAAUGUGCCUUCGGGAACCGUGAGACAGGUGCUGCAUGGCUGUCGUCAGCUCGUGUUGUGAAGUGUUGGGUUAAGUCCCGCAACGAGCGCAACCCUUAUCCUUUGUUGCCAGCGGUCCGGCCGGGAACUCAAAGGAGACUGCCAGUGAUAAACUGGAGGAAGGUGGGGAUGACGUCAAGUCAUCAUGGCCCUUACGACCAGGGCUACACACGUGCUACAAUGGCGCAUACAAAGAGAAGCGACCUCGCGAGAGCAAGCGGACCUCAUAAAGUGCGUCGUAGUCCGGAUUGGAGUCUGCAACUCGACUCCAUGAAGUCGGAAUCGCUAGUAAUCGUGGAUCAGAAUGCCACGGUGAAUACGUUCCCGGGCCUUGUACACACCGCCCGUCACACCAUGGGAGUGGGUUGCAAAAGAAGUAGGUAGCUUAACCUUCGGGAGGGCGCUUACCACUUUGUGAUUCAUGACUAGGGUGAAGUCGUAACAAGGUA
This 1500-nucleotide ribosomal RNA is filed under the name metagenome. RNAcentral's name for it is "bacterial SSU rRNA". It matches the Rfam family "Bacterial small subunit ribosomal RNA". The record is from RNAcentral.